AGUGAACGCUGGCGGUAGGCCUAACACAUGCAAGUCGAACGGCAGCACAGUAAGAGCUUGCUCUUACGGGUGGCGAGUGGCGGACGGGUGAGGAAUACAUCGGAAUCUACUUUUUCGUGGGGGAUAACGUAGGGAAACUUACGCUAAUACCGCAUACGACCUACGGGUGAAGGCAGGGGAUCUUCGGACCUUGCGCGAUUGAAUGAGCCGAUGUCGGAUUAGCUAGUUGGCGGGGUAAAGGCCCACCAAGGCGACGACCCGUAGCUGGUCUGAGAUGAUGAUCAGCCACACUGGAACUGAGACACGGUCCAGACUCCUACGGGAGGCAGCAGUGGGGAAUAUUGGACAAUGGGCGCAAGCCUGAUCCAGCCAUACCGCGUGGGUGAAGAAGGCCUUCGGGUUGUAAAGCCCUUUUGUUGGGAAAGAAAAGCAGCAGGUUAAUACCCCGCUGUUCUGACGGUACCCAAAGAAUAAGCACCGGCUAACUUCGUG
This 492-nucleotide ribosomal RNA is filed under the name uncultured bacterium. RNAcentral's name for it is "partial 16S ribosomal RNA". It matches the Rfam family "Bacterial small subunit ribosomal RNA", at positions 29 to 507 of the family's 1533-position model. The record is from RNAcentral.